AAGAAUUGGAGGCUCCAAGGAAUUGACGGAAAAUCCAAGGAAUUGAUGGCGGCUCCACGGAAGGUGCGAGCGUUAAUCGGAAUUACUGGGCGUAAAGCGUGCGCAGGCGGUUUGGUAAGACAGAUGUGAAAUCCCCGGGCUUAACCCGGGAACUGCAUUUGUGACUGCCAGACUAGAGUGUAGCAGAGGGGGGUAGAAUUCCACGUGUAGCAGUGAAAUGCGUAGAGAUGUGGAGGAAUACCGAUGGCGAAGGCAGCCCCCUGGGCUAACACUGACGCUCAUGCACGAAAGCGUGGGGAGCAAACAGGAUUAGAUACCCUGGUAGUCCACGCCCUAAACGAUGUCAACUAGGUGUUGGGGAAGGAGACUUCUUUAGUACCGCAGCUAACGCGUGAAGUUGACCGCCUGGGGAGUACGGUCGCAAGAUU
This 428-nucleotide ribosomal RNA is filed under the name uncultured beta proteobacterium. Its description in RNAcentral is "bacterial SSU rRNA". It matches the Rfam family "Bacterial small subunit ribosomal RNA", at positions 479 to 895 of the family's 1533-position model. Lineage: Bacteria; Pseudomonadati; Pseudomonadota; Betaproteobacteria. The record is from RNAcentral.